Long non-coding RNA from Cryptomeria japonica (Japanese cedar), 1394 nucleotides. RefSeq lists it as uncharacterized. The transcript is spliced from 2 exons. NCBI's taxonomy places the organism in Eukaryota, Viridiplantae, Streptophyta, Pinopsida, Cupressales, Cupressaceae. The record is from RefSeq and is a predicted model, not a curated record.
UUCCUCUUAAGGAAAUCAUUUUGUUUACUUUUCCUUAGUAUUGUUUUUUUGUUAAAUUAUGGGGUCUAUUAAGGGGCCCUGGCCCAGAAUGAAACCAUGAAAUACACACUAUAAAGAGAAUUAAAUGCCUGUUAUAACAACUCACACAGGGGUGUAACUGGCAAAUGAAAAUAAACAUGCAUGCAAGAUCAGGCCAAUCCAUUUUUACUACUAAGAAUGGUACGAAGCCUGAAAAUUAGGUCAAACCAGAGAAGAAUAAAUCCUAAAAAAAUCUUGAAUUUUGCGAUUUAAAAAAAAAUCUCCACCCGAAACUAUUUUUGCCCCCAAAAUUCUGAUUUAAUCAGCUGUGAUUUUCAAUGAUUUUUUAAGUUUUAAAAUUGUGAAAAAAUUGCUCGAGAAAUGCAUUUACUAUCCACCUGUCACGACACCCUAACCAUGCAAAAUCGCUGUUUAAUUGAGUUUUUUCAUUGAUUUUUAGCAUAGAACUGAGUGCUAGCCAUUGCGAUGUAGUUCACCUCCAAAGAUUCAUCAUAUGUCAUCAGGUUGCUAAGGUAAAUCAUAGGAGCAUCUGGUGGUGUAUGGGCAAUCCUGCAUCACCCAAAAAUAUUUCAUUUGUUAGUUUUAUUUUAUUUUUUUACAUUUCUGGAUACCCAUUUGGACGAAUAAGAGAUUCCAACUCUCAGAAUUGUCAAAUUGCUUUUUCUUGCCGACUGCCCAAAAUAGUAGAUUUUUAUUUGAAGUCAGAUGGAGGACAAAAUUUGUAGGAAGAUUAAGGAAGGAAAAAUAAGCACAUUGGCGAAAGAAUCAGUUCAAAAGCAUUAACGGUUUGCAAGUUAUUAAAGUUCCAGUUUCUUGAAAAACCGAAAAAAAUUCUUCCAAGUCAGAUUUGAGGCAUUAAACGGUGUCGAACAGGCCCGAAAAUGGCGGGAAUUGGCGGAGCUGUUUCUUAGCGUAUUCUACACUCAGAGAGCUUUCCGACGCUUCAAACGGUUCGUAAAUCCGAUUCUCGGAUCAAAGUUAUGGCUGCCGGAGGUUGGACAAUUUUCCGGAAAGUUUCAAUUUUCGAAUCUGGCUGUAUUUUCAUAUUUCCAAUUUCAUGUUUUGGCAUUUGUCUGCCAAAUGGUAAUUUUCUAAAUUGUAAUUUUGGCUCCAAGCUGGAAAAGAUCUAUUUAGGACUCAUUCGAGGAAACUUGUAAUAGUUUAGGGAUGUGAGUUGUUGUAUGUGAAAUUUUGGAGAGUUUUGGUUUCUGGGUUGGAUAAUUUGCAUUGUAAAGGGUUUCUAGAAAACUUGGUAAGCUGUUGUAUUGCAGCCUGUGGGGAUUAUUCCUCGUAUUUGCAUGUAUGCUUGUAUUGCAGAUAGUUUUCAGAUAAUAAUAAUAAUAUCUCUUGCGUCU